This 253-nucleotide ribosomal RNA is filed under the name uncultured bacterium. Its description in RNAcentral is "partial 16S ribosomal RNA". It matches the Rfam family "Bacterial small subunit ribosomal RNA", at positions 524 to 776 of the family's 1533-position model. The record is from RNAcentral.
UACGGGGGGGGCAAGCGUUGUUCGGAAUUACUGGGCGUAAAGGGUGCGUAGGCGGUUCGCUAAGUUAGAUGUGAAAACUCUGGGCUCAACCCAGAGCCUGCAUCUAAAACUGGCGGGCUAGAGUUCUGGAGGGGGUAGCGGAAUUCCUGGUGUAGCGGUGAAAUGCGUAGAUAUCAGGAGGAACACCCGUGGCGAAGGCGGCUCUCUGGGACGGUACUGACGCUGAGACGCGAAAGCGUGGGGAGCGAACAGG